GGAAAUCUCACCAGGCCCGGACACUGGAAGGAUUGACAGAUUGAUAGCUCUUUCUUGAUUCGGUGGGUGGUGGUGCAUGGCCGUUCUUAGUAGGUUGAGUGUUUUGUCUUGUUAAUUCCGAUAACGAACGAGACCUUAACCUGCUAAAUAGUGACGCGGUUCAUCGAACCGUGGGCCACUUCUUAGAGGGACUAUCGGAUUCAAACCGAUGGAAGUGUGAGGCAAUAA
Molecule: ribosomal RNA, 228 nt
Filed under: uncultured eukaryote
Lineage: Eukaryota
Description: partial 18S ribosomal RNA
Rfam family: Eukaryotic small subunit ribosomal RNA
Source: RNAcentral